RNAcentral lists this ribosomal RNA (253 nucleotides) under uncultured bacterium. RNAcentral's name for it is "partial 16S ribosomal RNA". It matches the Rfam family "Bacterial small subunit ribosomal RNA", at positions 524 to 776 of the family's 1533-position model. The record is from RNAcentral.
UACGUAGGGGGCAAGCGUUAUCCGGAUUUACUGGGUGUAAAGGGAGCGUAGACGGCUGUGCAAGUCAGAAGUGAAAGCCCGGGGCUCAACUCCGGGACUGCUUUUGAAACUGUUGAACUAGAUUGCAGGAGAGGUAAGUGGAAUUCCUAGUGUAGCGGUGAAAUGCGUAGAUAUUAGGAGGAACACCAGUGGCGAAGGCGGCUUACUGGACUGUAAAUGACGCUGAGGCUCGAAAGCGUGGGGAGCAAACAGG